AAAUGAAACUAGAUACAAGCGAGCGGCGGACGGGUGAGUAACACGUGGGUAACCUGCCCAAGAGACUGGGAUAACACCUGGAAACAGAUGCUAAUACCGGAUAACAACACUAGACGCAUGUCUAGAGUUUGAAAGAUGGUUCUGCUAUCACUCUUGGAUGGACCUGCGGUGCAUUAGCUAGUUGGUAAGGUAACGGCUUACCAAGGCAAUGAUGCAUAGCCGAGUUGAGAGACUGAUCGGCCACAUUGGGACUGAGACACGGCCCAAACUCCUACGGGAGGCAGCAGUAGGGAAUCUUCCACAAUGGACGAAAGUCUGAUGGAGCAACGCCGCGUGAGUGAAGAAGGGUUUCGGCUCGUAAAGCUCUGUUGGUAGUGAAGAAAGAUAGAGGUAGUAACUGGCCUUUAUUUGACGGUAAUUACUUAGAAAGUCACGGCUAACUACGUGCCAGCAGCCGCGGUAAUACGUAGGUGGCAAGCGUUGUCCGGAUUUAUUGGGCGUAAAGCGAGUGCAGGCGGUUCAAUAAGUCUGAUGUGAAAGCCUUCGGCUCAACCGGAGAAUUGCAUCAGAAACUGUUGAACUUGAGUGCAGAAGAGGAGAGUGGAACUCCAUGUGUAGCGGUGGAAUGCGUAGAUAUAUGGAAGAACACCAGUGGCGAAGGCGGCUCUCUGGUCUGCAACUGACGCUGAGGCUCGAAAGCAUGGGUA
Molecule: ribosomal RNA, 707 nt
Filed under: uncultured bacterium
Lineage: Bacteria
Description: bacterial SSU rRNA
Rfam family: Bacterial small subunit ribosomal RNA
Source: RNAcentral